GGAGGGAGUAAUGAUUUACCAAACCAACAAGGCAUUUACACAGAAAAUGUGACAAGUCAUGUUUAAAUAUCCUUGUAGUAGUUAUCAUAAUUAACAGAUUUUACCCAGAGAUAAUUUCUAAAUAAGUCAGCUAGACAAGGUAGAGGAGAGAGAGAGGAAUGGAUGACACAAGUAAUUGACCCAGAAAGGUUCACAAAACAAAAUACCUUUUGCAGCUGGUAAUCCAAAA
This 229-nucleotide unclassified non-coding RNA is filed under the name Hevea brasiliensis (rubber tree). The record is from RNAcentral. Lineage: Eukaryota; Viridiplantae; Streptophyta; Magnoliopsida; Malpighiales; Euphorbiaceae.